UACGAAGGGGGCUAGCGUUGCUCGGAAUUACUGGGCGUAAAGCGCACGUAGGCGGCUUGUUAAGUCAGGGGUGAAAUCCUGGAGCUCAACUCCAGAACUGCCUUUGAUACUGGGAGGCUCGAGUCCGGGAGAGGUGAGUGGAACUGCGAGUGUAGAGGUGAAAUUCGUAGAUAUUCGCAAGAACACCAGUGGCGAAGGCGGCUCACUGGCCCGGUACUGACGCUGAGGUGCGAAAGCGUGGGGAGCAAACAGG
This 253-nucleotide ribosomal RNA is filed under the name uncultured bacterium. RNAcentral describes it as "partial 16S ribosomal RNA". It matches the Rfam family "Bacterial small subunit ribosomal RNA", at positions 524 to 776 of the family's 1533-position model. The record is from RNAcentral.